GCAAGCCCGGACCAUGGCCAGGGCGCUGCGACCAUCCCCAAUGAGAGUCAGCCCUCUCCCAGGACAGCAAGCAGGCCGGAUUCCUGGCAGAGUUAACAACGAUUACCUGGUCUUUUUCGGGGAUGGUGGCAAAUUUACUUCCA
Long non-coding RNA from Myotis daubentonii (Daubenton's bat), 143 nucleotides. RefSeq lists it as uncharacterized. The record is from RefSeq and is a predicted model, not a curated record. Lineage: Eukaryota; Metazoa; Chordata; Mammalia; Chiroptera; Vespertilionidae.